CACUCUAAGACUUAACUUAAAGCACCUCCUGCUCAAUGACAUAUUAAAUAGCCGCAGUUCUCUGUGCUAAGGUAGCAUAAUAAAUAGUCCACUAAUUAUGGAAUAGAAUGAAAGGAUAAACAAAUUUUCUUCUAUAACUUAAUUACACUAUAAACUUAAAUAAAAGUAAAAAUUCCUCUAUAUAUUUGAAAGACGAUAAGACCCUAAAGAACUUAACUUAUAGUUAAACUGGGGCGGUUUCAUCAACUAAUUCUUAUCUACUAUAAUCCCCUCACCUAUAUAUUUAUUAUACCAAGUUACCUUAGGGAUAACAGCACAAUUAGUAAUUAAAGCACUUAUUAAAUUACAAGAUUAUGACCUCGAUGUUGAAUUGUAAUAACUUCUACAAAGCAAAAAUUUACCAAGUAAGUCUGUUCGACUUUUAAAAUUUCACAUG
This 436-nucleotide ribosomal RNA is filed under the name Heteroonops sp. 4 GJB-2020. Its description in RNAcentral is "partial large subunit ribosomal RNA". It matches the Rfam family "Archaeal large subunit ribosomal RNA", at positions 1919 to 2671 of the family's 2987-position model. The record is from RNAcentral. Lineage: Eukaryota; Metazoa; Arthropoda; Arachnida; Araneae; Oonopidae.